CCUGUUUAACAAAAACAUGUCUUUUUGAGUUAAUUUUAAAGUCUGACCUGCCCACUGAAGGAAUUUAUUUAAAUGGCCGCAGUAUUCUAACUGUGCAAAGGUAGCAUAAUCAUUAGUCUUUUAAUUGGAGGCUGGUAUGAAUGGUUGGACGAGGUAUAAGCUGUUUCAUAUUAAUUUAUAGUAGAAUUUUAUAUUUUAGUCAAAAAGCUAAAAUAUAAUUAAAAGACGAGAAGACCCUAUAAAUCUUUAUAUUUUACAUUGUUUAUAGUUUUUUAGAUUUAUUUUAUUUUUAUGAUUUGAAGUAUUUUGUUGGGGUGAUAUUAAAAUUUAAUGAACUUUUAAUUAUUUAAAAUCAUUAAUUUAUGAGUUAUUGAUCCAUUAAUAGUGAUUAUAAGAUUAAGUUACUUUAGGGAUAACAGCGUAAUUUUUUUGGAGAGUUCAUAUCGAUAAAAAAGUUUGCGACCUCGAUGUUGGAUUAAGAUAUAUUUAGGUGUAGCUGCUUAAAU
RNAcentral lists this ribosomal RNA (506 nucleotides) under Bactrocera romigae. RNAcentral's name for it is "partial large subunit ribosomal RNA". It matches the Rfam family "Bacterial large subunit ribosomal RNA", at positions 1799 to 2568 of the family's 2925-position model. Lineage: Eukaryota; Metazoa; Arthropoda; Insecta; Diptera; Tephritidae. The record is from RNAcentral.